GGUUGUUAUAGGUCUCCUUGCCUCUGCCACUGAUUACAUACAAUUGAUCAUGUUGUGACGAUAUUCAAGAUUCGUCAACUAUUACUCAUCAUCUAAGGAGUCGCAUCGAGAUCUCUGGCCAACUCUUUCAAUCUAUUCAUCACCUUAUUGAGCUCUCUAGUGCGCCAGUUAACUCGAUGGCCUAAUCAGACUAGCUCUUAGUGGUAACAAUGGGAAGAUAUUUAUAUCUAAUAAAUUCUUCAUGCUUAAACCCACAACUAUUAUUUAAUCAAACUUCAAAUAUCCAUAUAUACAUGUGCAUCCACUUUAAAAAAAAUUGACUUUGUUCUAGUAAAUGGUCCACUCCAUUCAGAUAAUGAAGAGACCAAGAUGUACAGGAAGGUUGGCACUAGGUCAACCAAGAAAAAAAAAAAUAUGAAUUUGCAAAAUUACAUGCUUUGUCUCUUUCAGGAUAAAAACUCUUCUUCCAUUUGAGUUGCACCAAGAUCUUUUAUGAUAUUCCAUAUUACUUAGUAAGAAGUGCUAGAGAUAAUGCUGAGCCUACCUUGUUGUUGAGUCCAAGUACGCUGCCGAGUUUUACUUGGUUUUGGGUGUUGGAAUCUAGAAGACCGGGAAGUGAUUACAAAAGUGACUUAAAAAAAAACUAAUUGAUAUGUAGCUAAACAAGAAAAUAGAGGAAACAAAUAGAGAUAUUUUUGUAUCUGGAAUCGAAAUAUUGUCUAUAUAUAGGCUUACACAGAA
Molecule: long non-coding RNA, 741 nt
Filed under: Elaeis guineensis (African oil palm)
Lineage: Eukaryota; Viridiplantae; Streptophyta; Magnoliopsida; Arecales; Arecaceae
Description: long non-coding RNA (EGUI_LNC035648)
Source: RNAcentral